UACGGUCAUAUUACGCUGAAACACUGGUUCCUGUACGAUCACCGAAGUUAAGCAACGUCGAGCCUUGUCAGUACCUGGAUCAGUGAUCGCUUUGGAAUACCAGCUGCUGUAAG
Molecule: non-coding RNA, 113 nt
Organism: Acanthosepion pharaonis
Lineage: Eukaryota; Metazoa; Mollusca; Cephalopoda; Sepiida; Sepiidae
Source: the annotation of a GenBank genome assembly